RNAcentral lists this ribosomal RNA (459 nucleotides) under uncultured bacterium. RNAcentral's name for it is "partial 16S ribosomal RNA". It matches the Rfam family "Bacterial small subunit ribosomal RNA", at positions 339 to 795 of the family's 1533-position model. The record is from RNAcentral.
CCACGGGUGGCAGCAGUGAGGAAUAUUGGUCAAUGGGCGAGAGCCUGAACCAGCCAAGUCGCGUGAAGGAUGACGGCCCUACGGGUUGUAAACUUCUUUUGUCAGGGAGCAAUUGGGUCCACGCGUGGGCUUAGCGAGAGUACCUGAAGAAAAAGCAUCGGCUAACUCCGUGCCAGCAGCCGCGGUAAUACGGAGGAUGCGAGCGUUAGCCGGGUUGUUUGGGGUUAAGGGGUGCGUAGGCGGAAUAUAAGUCCAGCGGUAAAAAUUCGGGGCUAAACCCCGUCGUGCCUGUGAAACUGAUGUUCUUGAGUGGGCGAGAGGUAUGCGGAAUGCGUGGUGUAGCGGUGAAAUGCAUAGAUAUCACGCAGAACACCGAUUGCGAAGGCAGCAUACCGGAGCCCAACUGACGCUGAGGCACGAAAGCGUGGGUAUCGAACAGGAUUAGAUACCCCAGUAGUC